GCUGAUGCGUUUGGGUUCUCGUCUGCAGACUCUCUGGACCUGGUCACGAUUCCACAAUGUACCACAACAGUAGUCAGAAGCGGCACUGGACUUUCUCCAGCGAGGAGCAGCUGGCAAGACUGCGGGCCGACGCCAACCGCAAAUUCAGAUGCAAAGCCGUGGCCAACGGGAAGGUUCUUCCGAAUGAUCCAGUCUUUCUUGAGCCUCAUGAAGAAAUGACACUCUGCAAAUACUAUGAGAAAAGGUUAUUGGAAUUCUGUUCGGUGUUUAAGCCAGCAAUGCCAAGGUCUGUUGUGGGUACGGCUUGUAUGUAUUUCAAACGUUUUUAUCUUAAUAACUCAGUAAUGGAAUAUCACCCCAGGAUAAUAAUGUGAGUAUGUCUGUCUAAUAUAUUGUUUUCAUUUAAGAAGACCUUUAUAAUCUUUUGAGUAUUUUUUGGGAGGAGAGAAUUGUGAGAGAGAGAGAGAGAGAACUGACUUCCUAAUACAGGGUAAUUUAGACUUGAAUUCUAUUUCUUUUUGUUUAUUCAGAACUUGAGAUCUCUAUUUACCUGUACUUCAGUAAUUCUGAUGGCAUCUGAACUUCAG
Molecule: small RNA, 587 nt
Filed under: Pan troglodytes (chimpanzee)
Lineage: Eukaryota; Metazoa; Chordata; Mammalia; Primates; Hominidae
Description: retained intron
Source: RNAcentral